This 458-nucleotide ribosomal RNA is filed under the name uncultured bacterium. RNAcentral describes it as "partial 16S ribosomal RNA". It matches the Rfam family "Bacterial small subunit ribosomal RNA", at positions 338 to 795 of the family's 1533-position model. The record is from RNAcentral.
CCUACGGGUGGCAGCAGUGGGGAAUAUUGCACAAUGGGGGAAACCCUGAUGCAGCGACGCCGCGUGAAUGAUGAAGCGUUUCGGCGCGUAAAGCUCUGUCAGCGGGGAAGAAACGCGCUUCGCGAGAGCCGCGGACGGUACCCGACCAAGAAGCCCCGGCUAACUACGUGCCAGCAGCGGCGGUAAUACGUAGGGGGCCAGCGUUAUCCGGAUUCACUGGGGGUAAAGGGAGCGUAGAGGGCGAGACAAGUCUGGAGUGAAAGGCUGGGGCCCAACCCCGGGACUGCACUUGAAACUGCCAGUCUGGAGUACAGGAGAGGUAAGUGGAAUUCCUGGUGUAGCGGUGAAAUGCGUAGAUAUUAGGAGGAACACCAAUGGCGAAGGCGGCUUGCUGGACUGUAACUGACGUUGAGGCUCGAAAGCGUGGGGAGCAAACAGGAUUAGAUACCCCAGUAGUC